RNAcentral lists this small RNA (747 nucleotides) under Pan troglodytes (chimpanzee). RNAcentral's name for it is "retained intron". The record is from RNAcentral. Lineage: Eukaryota; Metazoa; Chordata; Mammalia; Primates; Hominidae.
UAACAUUUUUAUUUAUACCUUAUUAAAUCGUUGCACUACUAACUAUACAUUAUUUAGAUGUUUAUUACUCUUGGUUUUAUUAUUUAACUGCUCCCAAUUCUCACUUAAGAUUGAUUUAGCUAAACAUACACAGUGAGUAUGAAAUAUAACUUUUUUUUAAAGGGCGAAGUUGAACAAAUUGCUAUGAUGAAACCAAAAGGCCAGACUGAACACGAUGAGGGUAUGCUUGAAUAUUUAGAAGAUAUAAUUGGUUGUGGACGGCUAAAUGAACCUAUUAAAGUCUUGUGUUGGAGAGUUGAAAUAUUAAAUGAACACAGAGGAGAGAAGUUAAACAGGGUAAAGAUGGUGGAAAAGGAAAAGGAUGCCUUAGAAGGAGAGAAAAACAUAGCUAUCGAAUUUCUUACCUUGGAAAAUGAAAUAUUUAGAAAGAAGAAUCAUGUUUGUCAAUAUUAUAUUUAUGAGUUGCAGAAACGAAUUGCUGAAAUGGAAACUCAAAAGGAAAAAAUUCAUGAAGAUACCAAAGAAAUUAAUGAGAAGAGCAAUAUACUAUCAAAUGAAAUGAAAGCUAAGAAUAAAGAUGUAAAAGAUACAGAAAAGAAACUGAAUAAAAUUACAAAAUUUAUUGAGGAGAAUAAAGAAAAAUUUACACAGCUAGAUUUGGAAGAUGUUCAAGUUAGAGAAAAAUUAAAACAUGCCACGAGUAAAGCCAAAAAACUGGAAAAACAACUUCAAAAAGAUAAAGAAAAG